Molecule: ribosomal RNA, 406 nt
Filed under: uncultured bacterium
Lineage: Bacteria
Description: partial 16S ribosomal RNA
Rfam family: Bacterial small subunit ribosomal RNA
Source: RNAcentral
AUUGAACGCUGGCGGCAGGCCUAACACAUGCAAGUCGAGCGAGCGGCGGACGGGUGAGUAAUGUCUGGGAAACUGCCUGAUGGAGGGGGAUAACUACUGGAAACGGUAGCUAAUACCGCAUACCAUCAGAUGUGCCCAGAUGGGAUUAGCUAGUCGUGGGGGUAACGGCUGACCUAGGCGACGAUCCCUAGCUGGUCUGAGAGGAUGACCAGCCAACCUGGAACGUGGACACGGUCCAGACUCCAACGGGAGGCAGCAGUGGGGAAUAUUGCAAAAUGGGCGAAAGCCUGAUGCAGACAUGCCGCGGGGGUGAAGAAGGCCUUCGGGUUGUAAAGCACGUUCAGCGGGGAGGCGUUACCCGCAGAGGAAGCACCGGCUAACUCCGUGCCAGCCGCCGCGGUAAUUC